CAACCUGCCGACAACACUGGGAUAGCCUUUCGAAAGAAAGAUUAAUACCGGGUGGCAUAAUUAUUCCGCAUGGGAUAAUUAUUAAAGAAUUACGGUUGUCGAUGGGGAUGCGUUCCAUUAGGCAGUUGGCGGGGUAACGGCCCACCAAACCAACGAUGGAUAGGGGUUCUGAGAGGAAGGCCCCCCACAUUGGAACUGAGACACGGUCCAAACUCCUACGGGAGGCAGCAGUGAGGAAUAUUGGUCAAUGGACGAGAGUCUGAACAGCCAAGUAGCGUGAAGGAUGACUGCCCUAUGGGUUGUAAACUUCUUUUAUACGGGAAUAAAGUGAGCCACGUGUGGCUUUUUGUAUGUACCGUAUGAAUAAGGAUCGGCUAACUCCGUGCCAGCAGCCGCGGUAAUACGGAGGAUCCGAGCGUUAUCCGGAUUUAUUGGGUUUAAAGGGAGCGUAGGCGGGUUGUUAAGUCAGUUGUGAAAGUUUGCGGCUCAACCGUAAAAUUGCAGUUGAUACUGGAUGUCUUGAGUGCAGUUGAGGCAGGCGGAAUUCGUGGUGUAGCGGUGAAAUGCUUAGAUAUCACGAAGAACUCCGAUUG
RNAcentral lists this ribosomal RNA (593 nucleotides) under uncultured Bacteroidota bacterium. RNAcentral's name for it is "bacterial SSU rRNA". It matches the Rfam family "Bacterial small subunit ribosomal RNA", at positions 122 to 715 of the family's 1533-position model. The record is from RNAcentral. Lineage: Bacteria; Pseudomonadati; Bacteroidota.